AUUCAUUCACCCCUCCCUUCUCUCUCUCUCUCUGUCUCUCUCGCUCUCCCUCUCUCUGUCUCUCUCUCUUUUCUCUCUCUCUCUCUCUCUCUCUCUCUCAGUGUGUAAGUGUGUGUUGAGAGAUGGGUGUUAGUCAGUAAUUCUCUCUGAGUGCUGUAACUGUGUUUUUUAAAGUGUAUAUAGUGUUUUUUCCUGAGUAAGUGUAGUAAAUGCUGUAUGGACUGUAGACUGUAGUCUGUAUAUCCGGAGCUCCGCGAGUCUGCGCUGCUUUUCUGACUGACUGAAGAAGCACCUGAGAGAGAGCUGAUCUUCAGCACAGAGCAUCAAUACGGGAGAAAACGAGAGACAGUCUGCUACAGGACAGAAGACUGACUUGGAUCUGUCUGGAUUUGUCAAAGGGAAUAAGCACAAUUGGAGAAGCUGACAUGUGGAAUAAACAGACCAAAACAAGAGGAAGUCAUUAGGAGCUGACUCUGAGUAAGCACAUGGAACAUGUGUGUGGAAUCAUGGCUUUGAUACUGCUUUGGUUUGUAGUUUAAUCAGGUAAUUGAGUUUGUUUUGUUUGGACCCCAUGCAUUCAAUAAUUACUCUGUGACUGCAGACAUUUGCCUGUAA
This 615-nucleotide long non-coding RNA is filed under the name Astyanax mexicanus (Mexican tetra). Its description in RNAcentral is "lncRNA (ENSAMXG00005021196.1)". Lineage: Eukaryota; Metazoa; Chordata; Actinopteri; Characiformes; Acestrorhamphidae. The record is from RNAcentral.